CAUUUCCUUAUGUAUUUUAUAAUUAUAAGGUAAAAUCUGCCCACUGAUAAAUAUUUUUAAAAGGCCGCGGUAAUUUGACCGUGCAAAGGUAGCAUAAUAAUUAGUUUUUUAAUUAAAAGCUAGGAUGAAGGAUUUAACAAAAAAGAUUUGUUUCAAAAAUAAAAUGAACUUAAUUUUAUAAGUAAAAAAGCUUAAAUUAUUUUGCAAGACGAUAAGACCCUAUAAAGCUCUGCAAGGUUAUAACCAAAGCUAAUGAAAUAAAUUAAGUUUUGUUUUAACUUUGCUUAGUUGGGGCGACUAAAAUAAUUAAAAUUAAACUACUACAAUAGUGCAAACCUAUCUUAAUAGUUCAUAAGAAUCACAUAAUGUUUAAUAACUGAGUUACUUUAGGGAUAACAGCGCAAUAUUUUUAGAGAGUUCUUAUCGAUAAAAAAGUUUGCG
Molecule: ribosomal RNA, 441 nt
Filed under: Allobathynella hongcheonensis
Lineage: Eukaryota; Metazoa; Arthropoda; Malacostraca; Bathynellacea; Parabathynellidae
Description: partial large subunit ribosomal RNA
Source: RNAcentral